UACAGAGGGGGCAAGCGUUGUUCGGAAUUACUGGGCGUAAAGGGCGCGUAGGCGGCCUGCUAAGUCGAACGUGAAAUCCCCGGGCUCAACCCGGGAACUGCGUCCGAUACUGGUUGGCUUGAAUCCGGGAGAGGGAUGCGGAAUUCCAGGCGUAGCGGUGAAAUGCGUAGAUAUCUGGAGGAACACCGGUGGCGAAGGCGGCCACCUGGACGGUAACUGACGCUGAGACGCGAAAGCGUGGGGAGCAAACAGG
This 253-nucleotide ribosomal RNA is filed under the name uncultured bacterium. Its description in RNAcentral is "partial 16S ribosomal RNA". It matches the Rfam family "Bacterial small subunit ribosomal RNA", at positions 524 to 776 of the family's 1533-position model. The record is from RNAcentral.